CCUACGGGCGGCAGCAGUGGGGAAUAUUGGACAAUGGGCGAAAGCCUGAUCCAGCCAUGCCGCGUGUGUGAAGAAGGCCUUCGGGUUGUAAAGCACUUUCAGUGGGGAAGAAAGCCUUGGGGCUAAUACCCUCGAGGAAGGACAUCACCCACAGAAGAAGCACCGGCUAACUCCGUGCCAGCAGCCGCGGUAAUACGGAGGGUGCGAGCGUUAAUCGGAAUUACUGGGCGGAAAGCGCGCGUAGGCGGUCUGAUAAGCCGGUUGUGAAAGCCCCGGGCUCAACCUGGGAACGGCAUCCGGAACUGUCAGGCUAGAGUGCAGGAGAGGAAGGUAGAAUUCCCGGUGUAGCGGUGAAAUGCGUAGAGAUCGGGAGGAAUACCAGUGGCGAAGGCGGCCUUCUGGACUGACACUGACGCUGAGGUGCGAAAGCGUGGGUAGCAAACAGGAUUAGAUACCCGAGUAGUC
RNAcentral lists this ribosomal RNA (465 nucleotides) under Vreelandella stevensii. RNAcentral describes it as "partial 16S ribosomal RNA". It matches the Rfam family "Bacterial small subunit ribosomal RNA", at positions 338 to 795 of the family's 1533-position model. Lineage: Bacteria; Pseudomonadati; Pseudomonadota; Gammaproteobacteria; Oceanospirillales; Halomonadaceae. The record is from RNAcentral.